Molecule: ribosomal RNA, 467 nt
Filed under: uncultured bacterium
Lineage: Bacteria
Description: partial 16S ribosomal RNA
Rfam family: Bacterial small subunit ribosomal RNA
Source: RNAcentral
GACGAACGCUGGCGGCGGGCUUAACACAUGCAAGUCGAACGGAAAUGGCUCUUUCGGGGGGUCCUCCAAUGGCCAACGGGGUGGGAAAACGGUAGUAAACCUCCCUUAUCCUUGGGGUAACUUCUGGGAACCGGGGCUAAAUCCGCAUAAGGGCUGCUGCGGCACAUCUGGGGUUAGUAAGAUUCGGCGGUUGGGGAUGGACUCGCGUGCUAUCAGCUUGUUGGUGGGGUAGUGGCUUACCAAGGCUUUGGCGGGUAGCCGGCCUGAGAGGGUGAACGGCCACAUUGGGACUGAGAUACGGCCCAGACUCCUACGGGAGGCAGCAGUGGGGAAUAUUGGACAAUGGGUGGCAGCCUGAUGCAGCAACGCCGUGUGCGGGAUGACGGCCUUCGGGUUGUAAACCGCUUUCGCUCAUGACGAAGCUUUGUGUGACGGUAGUGGGUAAAGAAGCACCGGCUAACUACGUG